GACGAACGCUGGCGGCGUGCCUAAUACAUGCAAGUUGAGCGCUGAAGGUUGGUACUUGUACCAACUGGAUGAGCAGCGAACGGGUGCGUAACGCGUGGGGAAUCUGCCUUUGAGCGGGGGACAACAUUUGGAAACGAAUGCUAAUACCGCAUAAAAACUUUAAACACAAGUUUUAAGUUUGAAAGAUGCAAUUGCAUCACUCAAAGAUGAUCCCGCGUUGUAUUAGCUAGUUGGUGAGGUAAAGGCUCACCAAGGCGAUAAUACAUAGCCGACCUGAGAGGGUGAUCGGCCACAUUGGGACUGAGACACGGCCCAAACUCCUACGGGAGGCAGCAGUAGGGAAUCUUCGGCAAUGGACGAAAGUCUGACCGAGCAACGCCGCGUGAGUGAAGAAGGUUUUCGGAUCGUAAAACUCUGUUGGUAGAGAAGAACGUUGGUGAGAGUGGAAAGCUCAUCAAGUGACGGUAACUACCCAGAAAGGGACGGCUAACUACGUG
This 497-nucleotide ribosomal RNA is filed under the name uncultured bacterium. RNAcentral's name for it is "partial 16S ribosomal RNA". It matches the Rfam family "Bacterial small subunit ribosomal RNA", at positions 28 to 507 of the family's 1533-position model. The record is from RNAcentral.